This 344-nucleotide unclassified non-coding RNA is filed under the name Hevea brasiliensis (rubber tree). Lineage: Eukaryota; Viridiplantae; Streptophyta; Magnoliopsida; Malpighiales; Euphorbiaceae. The record is from RNAcentral.
AGAACAAUGACUGUUCCUGUUGUCCCGUCUUUGACGGGAGGAGAAAGAAAAUGUACAUUUGCACGUCUUAGUUUUGACCUGUAGAAGCUGCCCAAUGGAUCACUCCCUAUACUACCAGUCAUAGCUACAUUGAAAGUAGGGCCUUUCAUGGGUCUAAUACCCAGCCUUGCCAAGGCCACCAGGCUGUUCGAAAGAGAUCCGCCAGCAGCCGCCUUAUAGCUGCGACCGUCCAUCGCUCGCAAUACUCUACCUCUUUCCUCAUGAUUUACAACCUUCCUUGUACCCUUCUCUAAUCCCAGUUUCCUCAGAAACUCAUCAUCUACCAUGCCAGAAAAAUCUACCAU